CAGUAGCCACGGUAAUACGUAGGGUGCAAGCGUUAAUCGGAAUUACUGUGCGUAAAGCGUGCGCAGGCGGUUAUAUAAGACAGAUGUGAAAUCCCCGGGCUCAACCUGGGAACUGCAUUUGUGACUGUAUAGCUAGAGUACGGCAGAGGGGGAUGGAAUUCCGCGUGUAGCAGUGAAAUGCGUAGAUAUGCGGAGGAACACCGAUGGCGAAGGCAAUCCCCUGGGCCUGUACUGACGCUCAUGCACGAAAGCGUGGGGAGCAAACAGGAUUAGAUACCCCGGUAGUCCCUGUCUCUUAUAC
This 301-nucleotide ribosomal RNA is filed under the name uncultured bacterium. RNAcentral's name for it is "partial 16S ribosomal RNA". It matches the Rfam family "Bacterial small subunit ribosomal RNA", at positions 509 to 807 of the family's 1533-position model. The record is from RNAcentral.